UACGUAGGCAGCAAGCGUUGUUCGGAGUUACUGGGCGUAAAGGGCGUGUAGGCGGUUGUUUAAGUUUGGUGUGAAAUCUCCCGGCUCAACCGGGAGGGUGCGCCGAAUACUGAGGGACUAGAGGGUGGGAGAGGAAAGUGGAAUUCCUGGUGUAGCGGUGAAAUGCGUAGAUAUCAGGAGGAACACCGGUGGUGUAGACGGCUUUCUGGACCAUAACUGACGCUGAGACACGAAAGCGUGGGUAGCAAACAGG
RNAcentral lists this ribosomal RNA (253 nucleotides) under uncultured bacterium. Its description in RNAcentral is "partial 16S ribosomal RNA". It matches the Rfam family "Bacterial small subunit ribosomal RNA", at positions 524 to 776 of the family's 1533-position model. The record is from RNAcentral.